UUUUGUCCGCCUAUGCAAAAAUGAGCGAAGGGGGUUUUGUCCGCAGGGGAUUUUGUCCGGAUCCCGGUACAUUCAUCACCUUUAGUGAUAGCUCUAGUUUAGGUUAUAAAUUGCAUCAGUUUUCUUGAAAAGGCAAUUUGAAAAAAAAAAAAAAAAUAGAACAUAAUGAAUAUCAAGAAUUUUCUGCAUUCAAGGAUAUUUUCUGAUGAUAUAAAAGUAAAAUAGUUUUAACCUGAUAGGAACCUCCUACCAUAAUCAGUAGUGGUAAACAAACAUUUGGUGGAGAUUAACUUGUAUAGUCAGCCCUUUUUUUGUAAAUUUGGGGAAGGGUACCAGGUCCCUUUUGGAGGGGAAAUUUACGUCGCGAAAUCAUUGUUUGGAGGAAUAUAUUUGCUGAAAAGUUGUUAAAAUCAGGACUGAAAAUCAAAACUGAUUUCAGUUUUUUUGCAUGGGGAAUUUUUGGCCAAAGUGGGGAAAAAAGUAUACUUUUUAGAUUGGGGAAUGGGGCCGAAUUUCGGCCCUAAAAUCAGCAUAAAAAAAGGCCUGAUAGUUUACUUUCAGAAAAAAGAUACUUAUUUAUGAAUAGCUGCCACAAAUGCUUCAAGGGAAAUCAAAGGUCACUGGAGACUCUACCAGGACAUACAUCUGACCGAUACACAAGGUUUUGCCAGGAGAUAUAUCACACAGUUAAGGGCCUACAAAGAUGCAAAGGUUAGAGGCUGUACAACAUGCAAGACUACCAAACAUAAUCAGCCUAUACUGUACAAUCAUUACCAAUUUCAAGAGCAAGGAGAUACAUGGAGAAUUCCUGUCUUUCACUGAUACUGAUCCUUCGAAGAUUUUCAAACACUGUUCAGCACGCUGGCUAUCCCUUGAGAAAUGUGCGAGACGGUUUCUUCAGCACUGCCCUGCCUUGAAGUCUUACUUGAACAGUCAUGAUGACAGUGAAAUGUCUGGGAACAGGGUUCAAAGAUGUGCUGCCAGACUCACUGAUUCGUUGUUCAGCCUGAGUUACCACUUCCUUGAAUUCAUUAUGGGUCCUCUGAAUGAAUUCAGUACCACCUUUCAGAGUUAAACAUUUCCUGUAGCAGCUUAGGACAGUACAGUUUGUGAGUUAACAGAUCAGGGUGAGCCUCAGUGUUUCCUGGUGUACUGUACUCAUCCGCCAACUUAGGACAGCUGUUUAGUGAUCGCAGAGGUGCGACACCCGUUUCAGAGCCAUUUACAUCAUUUAGUGAGGAUUCCUGUGUCUGACAGUACUGAACCUGAGGAAUUUCACACAUUUUUGAGCAGAGACCAGGUGUGCAGUAUCAACACCUUUUUAGUUACAUUUUGACAUGAAUUGUUGGAGAGAACUUGAAUACCAUGGCCAUGAGAUAUGACUUUAGCUAUAGAAUGCAAAAAUAUGCAGAAUUGUUGCAUUUGUGAUGAAAAAAAGAGAAUUUUCCCAUUUUUUACUGAAAAAUAAGCUUUUUUUUUAACAAAAAAAAAAUCACUAAACACUAAUUUUGUUCUAUAUUUUAUCACAGUUGCAUAGUUAUAAGUUUUUAGCUCACCUGUCACAAAGUGACAAGGUGAGCUUUUGUGAUCGCGUAGCGUCCGUCUGUCAGUCUGUGCGUGCGUGCGUUCGUGCGUGCGUAAACUUUUGCUUGUGACCACUCUAGAGGUCACAUUUUUCAUGGGAUCUUUAUGAAAGUUGGUCAGAAUGUUCAUCUUGAUGAUAUCUAGGUCAAGUUCGAAACUGGGUCACGUGCCGUCAAAAACUAGGUCAGUAGGUCUAAAAAUAGAAAAACCUUGUGACCUCUCUAGAAGCCAUAUUUUUCAUGAGAUCUUCAUGAAAAUUGGUCAGAUUGUUUACUUUGAUGAUAUCUAGGUCAAGUUCGAAACUGGGUCACGUGGGGUCAAAAACUAGGUCAGUAGGUCUAAAAAUAGAAAAACCUUGUGACCUCUCUAGAGGCCAUAUUUCUCAAUGGAUCUUCAUGAAAAUUAGUCAGAAUGUUUACCUUGAUGAUAUUUAGGUCAAGUUCGAAACUGGGUCAACUGCUGUCAAAAACUAGGUCAGUAGGUCUAAAAAUAGAAAAACCUUGUGACCUCUCUAGAGGCCAUAUUUCUCAAUGCAUCUUCAUGAAAAUUGGUCAGAAUGUUCACCUUGAUGAUAUCUAGGUCAAGUUCGAAAUUGGGUCAUGUGGGGUCAAAAACUAGGUCAGUAGGUCUAAAAAUAAAAAAAACAUUGUGAUCUCUUUAGAGGCCAUAUUUCUCAAUGGAUCUUCAUGAAAAUUGGUCAGAAUGUUCACCUUGAUGAUAUCUAGGUCAAGUUCGAAACUGGGUCACGUGGGGUCAAAAACUAGGUCAGUAGGUCUAAAAAUAGAAAAACCUUGUGACCUCUCUAGAGGCCAUACUUGUGAAUGGAUCUCCAUAAAAAUUUAUCUGAAUGUUCACCUUGAUGAUAUCUAGGUCAAUUUCGAAACUGGGUCAUGUGCAGUCAAAAACUAGGCCAGUAGGUAUAAAAAUAGAAAAACCUUGUGACCUCUCUAGAGGCCAUAUUUUUCAUGAGAUCUUCAUGAAAAUUAGUGAGAAUGUUCACCUUGAUGAUAUCUAGAUAAAGUUCAAAACAGGGUCACGUACCUUCGAAAACUAGGUCAAUAGGUCAAAUAAUAGAAAAACCUUGUGACCUCUCUAGAGGUCAUAUUUUUCAAUGGAUCUUCAUGAAAAUUGGUCAGAAUUUUUUAUCUUGAUGAUAUCUAGGUCACAUGUGCUCAAAAACUAGGUCAUGUGCGGUCAAAAACUAGGUCAGUAGGUCGAAAAAUAGAAAAACCUUGUGACCUCUCUAGUGGCGAUAUUUUUCAUGAGAUCUUCAUGAAAAUUGGUGAGAAUGUUCACCUUGAUGAUAUCUAGGUCAGAUUCAGAAGUGGGUCACGUGCCUUCAAAAACUAGGUCAUUAGGUCAAAUAAUAGAAAAACCUUGUGACCUCUCUAGAGGUCAUAUUUUUCAAUGGAUCUUCAUGAAAAUUGGUCAGAAUUUUUUAUCUUGAUGAUAUCUAGGUCACAUGUGCUCAAAAACUAGGUCACUAUGUCAAAUAAUAGAAAUAACGACGUCAUACUCAGUUCAACACUGGGUCAUGUGGGGAUAGGUGAGCGAUUCAGGACCAUCAUGGUCCUCUUGUUUUCAGUGUAGUUGUCUAUUCCGCACUUGCUGGUGGUAUAUUUGAUGUAAUAUCUUACGUUUUUUUUAGCUCACCUGUCACAAAGUGACAAGGUGAGCUUUUGUGAUCGCGCGGUGUCCGUGCGUGCGUGCAUCCGUCCGUAAACUUUUGCUUGUGACCACUCUAGAGGUCACAUUUUUCAUGGAAUCUUUAUGAAAGUUGGUCAGAAUGUUCAUCUUGAUGAUAUCUAGGUCAAGUUCGAAACUGGGUCACGUGCGGUCAAAAACUAGGUCAGUAGGUCGAAAAAUAGAAAAACCUUGUGACCUCUCUAGUGGCGAUAUUUUUCAUGAGAUCUUCAUGAAAAUUGGUGAGAAUGUUCACCUUGAUGAUAUCUAGGUCAGAUUCAGAAGUGGGUCACGUGCCUUCAAAAACUAGGUCAUUACGUCAAAUAAUAGAAAAACCUUGUGACCUCUCUAGAGGUCAUAUUUUUCAAUGGAUCUUCAUGAAAAUUGGUCAGAAUUUUUUAUCUUGAUGAUAUCUAGGUCACAUGUGCUCAAAAACUAGGUCACUAUGUCAAAUAAUAGAAAUAACGACGUCGUACUCAGUUCAACACUGGGUCAUGUGGGGAUAGGUGAGCGAUUCAGGACCAUCAUGGUCCUCUUGUUUUCAGUGUAGUUGUCUAUUCCGCACUUGCUGGUGGUAUAUUUGAUGUAAUAUCUUACGUUUUUUUUAGCUCACCUGUCACAAAGUGACAAGGUGAGCUUUUGUGAUCGCGCGGUGUCCGUGCGUGCGUGCAUCCGUCCGUAAACUUUUGCUUGUGACCACUCUAGAGGUCACAUUUUUCAUGGAAUCUUUAUGAAAGUUGGUCAGAAUGUUCAUCUUGAUGAUAUCUAGGUCAAGUUCGAAACUGGGUCACGUGCGGUCAAAAACUAGGUCAGUAGGUCGAAAAAUAGAAAAACCUUGUGACCUCUCUAGUGGCGAUAUUUUUCAUGAGAUCUUCAUGAAAAUUGGUGAGAAUGUUCACCUUGAUGAUAUCUAGGUCAGAUUCAGAAGUGGGUCACGUGCCUUCAAAAACUAGGUCAUUACGUCAAAUAAUAGAAAACCUUGUGACCUCUCUAGAGGUCAUAUUUUUCAAUGGAUCUUCAUGAAAAUUGGUCAGAAUUUUUUAUCUUGAUGAUAUCUAGGUCACAUGUGCUCAAAAACUAGGUCACUAUGUCAAAUAAUAGAAAUAACGACGUCGUACUCAGUUCAACACUGGGUCAUGUGGGGAUAGGUGAGCGAUUCAGGACCAUCAUGGUCCUCUUGUUUUCAGUGUAGUUGUCUAUUCCGCACUUGCUGGUGGUAUAUUUGAUGUAAUAUCUUACGUUUUUUUUAGCUCACCUGUCACAAAGUGACAAGGUGAGCUUUUGUGAUCGCGCGGUGUCCGUGCGUGCGUGCAUCCGUCCGUAAACUUUUGCUUGUGACCACUCUAGAGGUCACAUUUUUCAUGGAAUCUUUAUGAAAGUUGGUCAGAAUGUUCAUCUUGAUGAUAUCUAGGUCAAGUUCGAAACUGGGUCAUGUGCCAUAAAAAACUAGGUCAGUAGGUCUAAAAAUAGAAAAACCUUGUGACCUCUCUAGAGGCCAUAUAUUUCACAAGAUCUUCAUGAAAAUUGGUCAGAAUGUUCAGCUUGAUGAUAUCUAGGUCAAGUUCGAAACUGGGUCACGUGCCUUCAAAAACUAGGUCAGUAGGUCUAAAAAUAGAAAAACCUUGUGACCUCUCUAGAGGUCAUAUAUUUCACAAGAUCUUCAUGAAAAUUGGUCAGAACGUUCACCUUAAUGAUAUCUAGGUCAAGUUCGAAACUAGGUCAUGUGCCUUCAAAAACUAGGUCAGUAGGUCAAAUAAUAGAAAAACCUUGUGACCUCUCUAAAGGCCAUAUUUUUCAGGGAUCUGUAUGAAAGAUGGUCUGAAUGUUCAUCUUGAUGAUAUCUAGGUCAAGUUCGAAACUGGGUCACGUGCGAUCAAAAACUAGGUCAGUAGGUCUAAAAAUAGAAAAACCUUGUGACCUCUCUAGAGGCCAUAUAUUUCAUGAGAUCUUCAUGAAAAUUAGUCAGAAUGUUCACCUUGAUGAUAUUUAGGUCAAGUUCGAAAGUGGGUCACGUGCCAUCAAAAACUAGGUCAGUAGGUCAAAUAAUAGAAAACCUUGUGACCUCUCUAGAGGCCAUAUUUUUCAUGGGAUCUGUAUGAAAGUCGGUCUGAAUGUUCAUCUUGAUGAUAUCUAGGUCAAGUUGGAAAGUGGGUCACGUGCCUUCAAAAACUAGGUCAGUAGGUCAAAUAAUAGAAAAACCUUGUGACCUCUCUAAAGGCCAUAUUUUUCAUGGGAUCUGUAUGAAAAUUGGUCUGAAUGUUCAUCUUGAUGAUAUCUAGGUCAAGUUCGAAACUGGGGCAUGUGCGGUCAAAAACUAGGUCAGUAGGUCUAAAAAUAGAAAAACCUUGUGACCUCUCUAGAGGCCAUACUUGUGAAUGGAUCUCCAUAAAAAUUUAUCUGAAUGUUCACCUUGAUGAUAUCUAGGUCAAUUUCGAAACUGGGUCAUGUGCAGUCAAAAACUAGGCCAGUAGGUAUAAAAAUAGAAAAACCUUGUGACCUCUCUAGAGGCCAUAUUUUUCAUGAGAUCUUCAUGAAAAUUAGUGAGAAUGUUCACCUUGAUGAUAUCUAGAUAAAGUUCAAAACAGGGUCACGUACCUUCGAAAACUAGGUCAAUAGGUCAAAUAAUAGAAAAACCUUGUGACCUCUCUAGAGGCCAUAUUUUUCAUGGGAUCUGUAUGAAAGUUGGUCUGAAUGUUCACCUUGAUGAUAUCUAGGUCAAGUUUGAAACUGGGUCAUGUGCCUUAAAAAACUAGGUCAGUAGGUCAAAUAAUAAAAAAACCUUGUGACCUCUCUAGAGGCCAUACUUUUCAUGGGAUCUGUAUGAAAGUUGGUCUGAAUGUUCAUCUUGAUGAUAUCUAGGUCAAGUUUGAAACUGGGUCAACUGCGGUCAAAAACUAGGUCAGUAGAUCUAAAAUUAUUAAAAUCUUUUGACCUCUCUAGAGACCAUAUUUUUGAAUGGAUCUUCAUGAAAAUUUAUCUGAAUGUUCACCUUGAUGAUAUCUAGGUCAGAAUCGAAACUGGGUCACGUGCGGUCAAAAACUAGGCCAGUAGGUAUAAAAAUAUAAAAACCUUGUGACCUCUCUAGAGGCCAUAUUUUUCAUGAGAUCUUCAUGAAAAUUAGUGAGAAUGUUCACCUUGAUGAUAUCUAGAUAAAGUUCAAAACAGGGUCACGUACCUUCGAAAACUAGGUCAAUAGGUCAGAUAAUAGAAAAACCUUGUGACAUCUCUAGAGACCAUAUUUUUCAAUGGAUCUUCAUGAAAAUUGGUCAGAAUUUUUAUCUUGAUAAUAUCUAGGUCAAGUUCAAAACUGGGUCACAUGAGCUCAAAAACUAGGUCACUAUGUCAAAUAAUAGAAAAAAAAUGAUGUCAUACUCAAAACUGGGUCAUGUGGGAAGAGGUGAGCGAUUCAGGACCAUCAUGGUCCUCUUGUUUGAAAAAACAGCAUUUAAUGACUAUAUGUGAUUCAGCCAAAUUUAACGGCUUAAACCAAAGUCUUUGGACAAAAUGAUGGCUGUACAAAAAUAGUGAUUUUGAGAAAACUACUGGUUUGUUUGGGCUGAAACUUGUUUUAUAAGCCGAGUAUAGAUGAAACUUCACAUAGACAGCAAAAAAGCUGAAAAAAAAAAUUUCAUAUUUCCUUAUAGGCAUACAGACACUAAAUAGCCUGAGCACCUAUGAAAAAAUGGUAGUCGCAUAAUGGCGGAUUCAAAUAGUUCUCAGUUCUUUUUGCUGUAAGAAGGAUUUUUCCUUGAAAUCAUUUCUAUAUAUUGGUUGAAAUCAUAUUGCAUGCCUAUACUUGACAUACUGGUAGCAUUUGCAUGUUGAAAAAAAGACUCCAAACUGAUUUAA
Molecule: long non-coding RNA, 7116 nt
Organism: Mercenaria mercenaria
Lineage: Eukaryota; Metazoa; Mollusca; Bivalvia; Venerida; Veneridae
Exons: 4
Source: RefSeq, a predicted model, not a curated record